Molecule: long non-coding RNA, 243 nt
Organism: Catharus ustulatus (Swainson's thrush)
Lineage: Eukaryota; Metazoa; Chordata; Aves; Passeriformes; Turdidae
Exons: 3
Source: RefSeq, a predicted model, not a curated record
CCGCCCGCCCCUCCCCCCGGCAGAUCCUGGGGCUGCUGCUGCUCCUCAUGGCCCUGGGGGGGCUGGUGCACGGGCUGGCCUACAGGUACGUGGCCGGGGCUCACGCCGCCUUCCUGGACCGGCAGGACCGGGAGCUGCGAGCGAUCUACGAGAGAGCGCGGAGCCGGGCGGGGACGCACGAGGAGGUUCUGAGGAGGCUCCGGGCGCGGGGGAGGGGCCGGGGAGGGGGAGGGGACGGCGAGG